AAAAGGGAAUUACUCUUCAACAAACUUGAUCAAGUCCAAGCAAUGCUUGAACCUUGAUCUAGGCAAUGAAUUGGUAAACACAUCCGCCAGAUUCUCUUCCGAUGCCACUUUUUCCACCACAAUCUCUUUUGAUUCAAUCAUGUCUCGAACAAAGUGCAAGCGAAUGUCAAUGUGCUUUGUCCUCUCAUGAUACACUUGAUGAUUCGCCAAGUGAAUGGCACUUUGACUAUCACAAUGUAUCUUCACACAUUCUUGAGUAAUUCCUAACUCACCAAUCAUUCCUUUCAACCACAUGGCCUCUUUCA
This 305-nucleotide long non-coding RNA is filed under the name Medicago truncatula (barrel medic). Its description in RNAcentral is "long non-coding RNA (MTRU_LNC003425)". Lineage: Eukaryota; Viridiplantae; Streptophyta; Magnoliopsida; Fabales; Fabaceae. The record is from RNAcentral.